Molecule: long non-coding RNA, 656 nt
Filed under: Dasypus novemcinctus (nine-banded armadillo)
Lineage: Eukaryota; Metazoa; Chordata; Mammalia; Cingulata; Dasypodidae
Description: lncRNA (ENSDNOG00000050736.1)
Source: RNAcentral
CCAUUGGGAUCCAGUCUAUCACAUGGGAGGCGUGGGGUUCACGUCCUUGUGAAGGCAAACUGACCCACACCCAUGGAGAACUAAUGGCCCACGCUCGCGGAGAGCUGGCGCAGCAAGAUGAUGCAGCAAUGGGAGACAAGCAGACACAGAAGAACACACAGUGAAUGAACACAGAGAGCAGACAGCAAGCAAGCUGCCAAGAGUGGGAAAUAAACAAACAAAUAAUAUAUUUUUUUUUUAAAGUGUGUUCAACUUUUCCUAAAGUCCUGGUCUCUAAUGCUGCCUUUUCAAGAAUCACAGAGCCUCAGCAGAGGAAGGUUUCUGGAGUGUCUCUUUUGUUUGAUGUUCUCUGUAACUUUCGCACUUUUUAACAAUGUAUCACAAAGGAGCCAAAUAAAGUGUCCAGGUAGAUCAGCAAAAUCCAUUCUCCUUCUGUGCAUCAGUGAUUCCCCAGUGACAUUGGAUCAGCCGCUGCAAUUCCUCAAGUGAAGAUCAGAAUGUCAUAAUCCUACCGGACACUUUUUUUCUCCACCACUUAAGGUAAUAGAAAAAUAAUGUUUGCAGUUUCACCAGGAUGAAUUAGAAAAUACCAAAAGUUUCACUGCAAAUAUUAUGGCUUUGUAUACGUCAUCUUCGUUCUAAUAUUUUAGUGCUCU